Molecule: non-coding RNA, 72 nt
Organism: Pangasius djambal
Lineage: Eukaryota; Metazoa; Chordata; Actinopteri; Siluriformes; Pangasiidae
Source: the annotation of a GenBank genome assembly
UCCCUGGAAGACCAGUGGUUAGGCCACAGUGUUCUCAUCUCUGUGGCCCGGGUUCAAUCCCUGGCCAGGGAA